GAUGAACGCUGGCGGCGUGCCUAAUACAUGCAAGUCGAGCGAACAGACGAGGAGCUUGCUCCUCUGACGUUAGCGGCGGACGGGUGAGUAACACGUGGAUAACCUACCUAUAAGACUGGGAUAACUUCGGGAAACCGGAGCUAAUACCGGAUAAUAUAUUGAACCGCAUGGUUCAAUAGUGAAGGACGGUUUUGCUGUCACUUAUAGAUGGAUCCGCGCCGCAUUAGCUAGUUGGUAAGGUAACGGCUUACCAAGGCAACGAUGCGUAGCCGACCUGAGAGGGUGAUCGGCCACACUGGAACUGAGACACGGUCCAGACUCCUACGGGAGGCAGCGGUAGGGAAUCUUCCGCAAAGGGCGAAAGCCUGACGGAGCAACGCCGCGUGAGUGAUGAAGGUCUUCGGAUCGUAAAACUCUGUUAUUAGGGAAGAACAAAUGUGUAAGUAACUAUGCACGUCUUGACGGUACCUAAUCAGAAAGCCACGGCUAACUACGUG
RNAcentral lists this ribosomal RNA (497 nucleotides) under uncultured bacterium. Its description in RNAcentral is "partial 16S ribosomal RNA". It matches the Rfam family "Bacterial small subunit ribosomal RNA", at positions 28 to 507 of the family's 1533-position model. The record is from RNAcentral.